GCGUCGGUUGCAUAGCGGUUAGGGCGCUCGCCUACCAUGCGCAUGGUCCAGGGUUCGAUCCCCGGCCGACGUA
Molecule: transfer RNA, 73 nt
Filed under: Trichobilharzia regenti
Lineage: Eukaryota; Metazoa; Platyhelminthes; Trematoda; Strigeidida; Schistosomatidae
Rfam family: tRNA
About the family: Transfer RNA (tRNA) molecules are approximately 80 nucleotides in length. Their secondary structure includes four short double-helical elements and three loops (D, anti-codon, and T loops).
Source: Rfam by way of RNAcentral